Molecule: ribosomal RNA, 343 nt
Filed under: uncultured bacterium
Lineage: Bacteria
Description: bacterial SSU rRNA
Rfam family: Bacterial small subunit ribosomal RNA
Source: RNAcentral
UAGCGUAUUCGUUUGACGUUAGCGACAGAAGAAAGCACCGGCUAACUCCGUGCCAGCAGCGCGGUAAUACGGAGGUGCGAGCGUUAAUCGGAAUUACUGGGCGUAAAGCGCAUGCAGGUGGUUUGUUAAGUCAGAUGUGAAAGACCCGGGGCGUCAACCUCGGAAUAGCAUUUGUAAACUAGGCAGACUAGAGUACUGUAGAGGGGGGUAGGAAUUUCAGGUGUAGCGGUGAAAAUGCGUAGAGAUCUGAAGGAAUACCGGUGGCGAAGGCGGCCCCCUCGGACAGAUACUGACACUCAGAUGCGAAAGCGUGGGGAGCAAACAGGAUUAGAUACCCUGGUAG